GGACGAACGCUGGCGGCGUGCUUACCACAUGCAAGUCGAACGGUGAACGAGGGAGCUUGCUCCCUCCGGAUCAGUGGCGAACGGGUGAGUAACACGUGAGCAAUCUGCCCCGAACUCUGGGAUAAGCGUUGGAAACGACGUCUAAUACCGGAUACGACGCGGGAGGGCAUCCUCUCCGCGUGGAAAGAACUUCGGUUCGGGAUGAGCUCGCGGCCUAUCAGCUUGUUGGUGAGGUAACGGCUCACCAAGGCGACGACGGGUAGCCGGCCUGAGAGGGUGACCGGCCACACUGGGACUGAGACACGGCCCAGACUCCUACGGGAGGCAGCAGUGGGGAAUAUUGCACAAUGGGCGCAAGCCUGAUGCAGCAACGCCGCGUGAGGGACGACGGCCUUCGGGUUGUAAACCUCUUUUAGCAGGGAAGAAGCGAAAGUGACGGUACCUGCAGAAAAAGCACCGGCUAACUACGUG
Molecule: ribosomal RNA, 471 nt
Filed under: uncultured bacterium
Lineage: Bacteria
Description: partial 16S ribosomal RNA
Rfam family: Bacterial small subunit ribosomal RNA
Source: RNAcentral